GGGUGCGAUCAUACCAGCACUAAUGCACCGGAUCCCAUCAGAACUCCGCAGUUAAGCGUGCUUGGGCGAGAGUAGUACUAGG
RNAcentral lists this ribosomal RNA (82 nucleotides) under Gossypium raimondii (Peruvian cotton). Lineage: Eukaryota; Viridiplantae; Streptophyta; Magnoliopsida; Malvales; Malvaceae. The record is from RNAcentral.